RNAcentral lists this ribosomal RNA (443 nucleotides) under Pseudomonas putida. RNAcentral's name for it is "bacterial SSU rRNA". It matches the Rfam family "Bacterial small subunit ribosomal RNA", at positions 90 to 529 of the family's 1533-position model. The record is from RNAcentral. Lineage: Bacteria; Pseudomonadati; Pseudomonadota; Gammaproteobacteria; Pseudomonadales; Pseudomonadaceae.
AUUCAGCGGCGGACGGGUGAGUAAUGCCUAGGAAUCUGCCUGGUAGUGGGGGACAACGUUUCGAAAGGAACGCUAAUACCGCAUACGUCCUACGGGAGAAAGCAGGGGACCUUCGGGCCUUGCGCUAUCAGAUGAGCCUAGGUCGGAUUAGCUAGUUGGUGAGGUAAUGGCUCACCAAGGCGACGAUCCGUAACUGGUCUGAGAGGAUGAUCAGUCACACUGGAACUGAGACACGGUCCAGACUCCUACGGGAGGCAGCAGUGGGGAAUAUUGGACAAUGGGCGAAAGCCUGAUCCAGCCAUGCCGCGUGUGUGAAGAAGGUCUUCGGAUUGUAAAGCACUUUAAGUUGGGAGGAAGGGUUGUAGAUUAAUACUCUGCAAUUUUGACGUUACCGACAGAAUAAGCACCGGCUAACUCUGUGCCAGCAGCCGCGGUAAUACAGA